RNAcentral lists this ribosomal RNA (465 nucleotides) under uncultured bacterium. RNAcentral describes it as "partial 16S ribosomal RNA". It matches the Rfam family "Bacterial small subunit ribosomal RNA", at positions 28 to 507 of the family's 1533-position model. The record is from RNAcentral.
GACGAACGCUGGCGGCGUGCUUAACACAUGCAAGUCGUACGGUAAGGCCCUUUCGGGGGUACACGAGUGGCUAACGGGUGAGUAACACGUGAGUAACCUGCCCACAACUUUGGGAUAACGCUAGGAAACUGGUGCUAAUACUGGAUAUUUGCCCCUGCUGCAUGGUGGGGGUUGGAAAGCUCCGGCGGUUGUGGAUGGACUCGCGGCCUAUCAGCUUGUUUGUGGGGUAGUGGCCUACCAAGGCGGCGGCGGGUAGCCGGCCUGAGAGGGUGACCGGCCACAUUGGGACUGAGAUAAGGCCCAGACUGCUACGGGAGGCAGCAGGGGGGAAUAUUGCACAAUGGGCGCAAGCCUGAUGCAGCAGCGCCGCGUGCGGGAUGACGGCCUUCGGGUUGUAAACCGCUUUCAGCAGGGACGAAGCUUUUUGUGACGGUACCUGCAGAAGAAGCACCGGCUAACUACGUG